This 253-nucleotide ribosomal RNA is filed under the name uncultured bacterium. RNAcentral describes it as "partial 16S ribosomal RNA". It matches the Rfam family "Bacterial small subunit ribosomal RNA", at positions 524 to 776 of the family's 1533-position model. The record is from RNAcentral.
UACGAAGGGGGCUAGCGUUGUUCGGAAUCACUGGGCGUAAAGGGCGCGUAGGUGGUUCUGUAUGUCUACCGUGAAAGCGUACGGCUCAACUGUAUUUUGUCGGUAGAAACUGCAGGACUUGAGGCUGGGAGGGGCUGGUGGAAUUCCCUGUGUAGCGGUGAAAUGCGUAGAGAUGGGGGAGAACACUCGUGGCGAAGGCGGCCAGCUAGACCAGUUCUGACACUGAGGCGCGACAGCGUGGGGAGCAAACAGG